CUCCCUCUCCACGACACAUGAACAACGAAUAGGAUAUCCACAUUGCAGUAUUCACAUUUCACACAAUAGAAUUGCUAAUGACGAGGUACAGAAUGAGUAAUGCAACAACUUGAGAUAGGACAGGUCAUCUUAUGUAUCCUUAUUGAAUCAAGAGGCACAUAUACACCGCUUGGUAAAGAAAAUUGCCACGAACUACGAAGGGGCACAAUUCGCAGAAUCAAUAUGUAUUUUCUUCUCUUGUGAUAGUGUUUAGGACGCGGGAAUCAAACUGAAAAAUUGAGUAGGAACAGUGGCAAGACUUUCUUCUGCUGCUUACCUCAUUCUUUGAAAGAUUAAUUAUUAACGAUGACUGUUUUGAGGUUUCCUAUGUGCCUGCAGCGUUCACUGUAGAGGAGUUUAAUCUUCAGAAACUUCCGAUUACCGUGCCAAAAAAACAAUGGUCGAGACAGAUGGAAUGGAUCUACUCUGGCGAGCAUUGUACGUCGGAAGUAAUUAGGCAAACACAAGAAGAAGAUAAAUGUAACAGGCAAAUAAACUACGCUUUCUUUUCGCGAUAAAAAAAGAAGAAGAAGCAGUUCCGGCAUAGCAUUCCCUGAUCUGGUUUUUGAUUCUUGCGGAACUGAUCAUCUGUUCAUG
RNAcentral lists this long non-coding RNA (636 nucleotides) under Populus trichocarpa (black cottonwood). RNAcentral describes it as "long non-coding RNA (PTRI_LNC003265)". The record is from RNAcentral. Lineage: Eukaryota; Viridiplantae; Streptophyta; Magnoliopsida; Malpighiales; Salicaceae.